UUUAGGUGUUAUUUUUUUUAACACAAUAAAACAAUAUCAUUUUAAAUUAUGAUAUUUUCCUAUGUAUUUUCUGAGUGAUGUACUUGUAAUUUAUGAUCUAACAUCUUGGCCUUCCUAUCCUGGACAGACAUACUGAAGAUCCUCUGACAGACCAACCCAUUUUGUGCGUCGUAAUGAACCUGUAAUUAAUCAUCAAUACGGAACAUUGGUCUGUCUAUCCUGAAGGCACACACUGAAGAUGGCGAAAUGCCGAAACCCAGUCUGACAGAACAACCCAGUGACGAUAGUGAAACCAGGCGAUCGCGAGGUUGAGGUGACAAAUUACAAGCGGGAAUCGAAUCCAAGACAUCCGCAUUACUCAGGUGCUACUGCUUGAGCUGUCGUUAGUUAGGACCUUCGAGACACCAAUUCCUCAUUUCAACCUACAACUAUUUAUAUACACAUAUCCCUUUCUUCGCCAACAUCUCUCAUAAAAUAAUUAAUUUAUGAAAAA
Molecule: long non-coding RNA, 493 nt
Filed under: Cimex lectularius (bed bug)
Lineage: Eukaryota; Metazoa; Arthropoda; Insecta; Hemiptera; Cimicidae
Description: uncharacterized LOC106662040, transcript variant X2
Source: RNAcentral